RNAcentral lists this ribosomal RNA (637 nucleotides) under Russula sp. r-03045. RNAcentral's name for it is "LSU rRNA". It matches the Rfam family "Eukaryotic large subunit ribosomal RNA", at positions 41 to 649 of the family's 3401-position model. The record is from RNAcentral. Lineage: Eukaryota; Fungi; Basidiomycota; Agaricomycetes; Russulales; Russulaceae.
UAUCAAUAAGCGGAGGAAAAGAAACUAACAAGGAUUCCCCUAGUAACUGCGAGUGAAGCGGGAAAAGCUCAAAUUUAAAAUCUGGUGGUCUUUGGCCAUCCGAGUUGUAAUUUAGAGAAGCGACUUCCGCGCUGGACUGUGCACAAGUCUCCUGGAAUGGAGCGUCAUAGAGGGUGAGAAUCCCGUCUUUGGCACAGAUGUACCAGGGCUUUUGUGAUGCGCUCUCGAAGAGUCGAGUUGUUUGGGAAUGCAGCUCAAAAUGGGUGGUGAACUCCAUCUAAAGCUAAAUAUUGGCGAGAGACCGAUAGCGAACAAGUACCGUGAGGGAAAGAUGAAAAGCACUUUGGAAAGAGAGUGAAACAGUACGUGAAAUUGUUGAAAGGGAAACGCUUGAAGUCAGUCGCGUCGGUCGAGACUCAGCCUUGCCUCGGCUUGGCGUACUUCUCAGCUGACGGGUCAGCAUCAAUUUUGCCCCUCGAAUAAUGGCAAGGGAAAUGUGACACCUUUUACAGGUGUGUUAUAGUCUUUUGUCGCAUGCGAGGGUCAGGAUUGAGGAACUCAGCACGCGCCUUUGGGUGUCGGGGCCGCUUGCCCACGAAACGUGCUUAGGAUGUUGGCGUAAUGGCUUUAAACGACC